AUGCUUCCUUUUGCAAUACAUCUACUGGAAUUGGAAUGAUACAGAGUCAAUUAGCCUGGCCCCUGUGCAAGAAUAACACAGAUUUGCUAAAUGUUCAUAUUCUU
This 104-nucleotide small nuclear RNA is filed under the name Microtus ochrogaster (prairie vole). The record is from RNAcentral. Lineage: Eukaryota; Metazoa; Chordata; Mammalia; Rodentia; Cricetidae.